AAAAAAUAACCGCCUUUCGCCCGCGGCCCGGAGAGAGGAAGAAGCCGAGCUGUCCGCUCUGAAUAUUGGUGUUCCUGUCUUCAGAAGAAAAUAACAACUGAAGCAUGCAGCGAUACUGUUAUGAAGCUGACAAGGCAAGUGCGACUGAUGACCUAAGUGAACAAUGGCACCAUCCCCAACUCAGCUUGAACAAACUUGGUACUCGCACUGAUGAAAAUUCAGCACUUGAGGAAAUUAUACUUGUGUGCGGACACUGUGAGGAGCAAGAAGCAUCUCCCAUAGCUCACAGUAUUAGCAGCAAUGGCUUGGUGGUAUCCACUCAUUUUUUUAUUUAU
Molecule: long non-coding RNA, 335 nt
Organism: Carcharodon carcharias (great white shark)
Lineage: Eukaryota; Metazoa; Chordata; Chondrichthyes; Lamniformes; Lamnidae
Exons: 3
Source: RefSeq, a predicted model, not a curated record